This 660-nucleotide ribosomal RNA is filed under the name uncultured fungus. RNAcentral's name for it is "eukaryotic LSU rRNA". It matches the Rfam family "Eukaryotic large subunit ribosomal RNA", at positions 24 to 664 of the family's 3401-position model. Lineage: Eukaryota; Fungi. The record is from RNAcentral.
CCCGCUGAACUUAAGCAUAUCAAUAAGCGGAGGAAAAGAAACUAACAAGGAUUCCCUUAGUAACUGCGAGUGAAGUGGGAAAAGCUCAAAUUUAGAAUCUGGCAGUCACUUGGCUGUCCGAGUUGUAAUCUAGAGAAGUGUUGCCCGUGCUGGACCAUGUACAAGUCUCCUGGAAUGGAGCAUCACAGAGGGUGAGAAUCCUGUCUUUGACAUGGACUGCCAGUGCUUUUGUGGUAUGCUCUCAAAGAGUCGAGUUGUUUGGGAAUGCAGCUCAAAAUGGGUGGUAAAUGCCAUCUAAAGCUAAAUAUUGGCGAGAGACCGAUAGUGAACAAGUACCGUGAGGGAAAGAUGAAAAGAGCUUUGGAAAGAGAGUUAAACAGUACGUGAAAUUGCUGUAAGGGAAACGCUUGAAGUCAGUCACGUUGACUUGGAAUCAGCUCUGCUUUUGCUGGGUGUACUUUCUUGUCAAUGGGUCAGCAUCAAUUUUGACCAUUGGAUAAAGUUGCUGGGAAUGUAGCAUUCUUUUGGAUGUGUUAUAGCCUGGUGAUGCAUACAGUGGUUGGGAUUGAGGAAUUCAGCACGCCACCAGGCCGGGUUUUGACCACGUUCGUGCUUAGGAUGCUGGCAUAAUGGCUUUAAUUGACCCGUCUUGAAACACGG